Molecule: long non-coding RNA, 29965 nt
Filed under: Jatropha curcas
Lineage: Eukaryota; Viridiplantae; Streptophyta; Magnoliopsida; Malpighiales; Euphorbiaceae
Description: long non-coding RNA (JCUR_LNC002085)
Source: RNAcentral
CAACAACAAUCAGCUAAUAAUUUGAGCCGUCGAGCCAUCUUUCCACCAGUAUCAUAUCAGUCAUCACCACUAGCACGUGCAAAAAUCACUACUACUCGAAAUCGCUAACUACUGCUAACUUUGAUUAUUAUUACUAUUAUCAUACUAAUCACAUUCAUAUCAGAGAUAAGAACGAAACACAGAAACAGAACAACUGAAGAAUAUAUGGAAAAUGGCGCAUAAAAUUAAUUAAUUACCAACAAAAACCAGCACCUAAUUAAGGUAGAAAGCACUAAAACCAAUAAUUAUACUACAAAUCACAUUGUUUAAUACACAUCGCAAAUCCUCACUAAUCAUCCAAAAAAAAAAAAAAAAAAAAAAAUCCAAACCAUCCAUAACCGAAUAGGCAAAGGUUCUUUCUUCAUCUCCUGCAACGAGUAAUCCUAUUGCAGCCUCUGGUGUAAGGGUUAACCGGAGCUCUAGAUUUGAAGCAAUUAUUAGUAUAAUAAGAUCUACCUGACCUUGGAGGGCAAGGAAUUCUAUUAGCCGCAAGAGCUCCGUAAGAGAUAUAAUAAUGAACUCUUCUCCAGAACAAAGAUCUACGGUCGCCUAUCUCUUCAUUUUCUUCGUCACUAUCUAAAUCUAUCAAUCCAUUGUCGAACUCACCUUUCCCUUCCAAAUCACUGUACAUAGACAUCGCCAUUGGCCAUUCGAGACUGUCCGCCAUUAUCUUCAACCCUGUUUCUUCCACUUGAGCUUCGAUUCCUAAGCUAAGAGAGAGGGAAACAGCGAAAAGGAAAGUUAAGUGUUUAGAAAUCGCCAUUGGAGGGAGAGAUUUGAAACUAAACUAAGCUUGAGAGAGACUUAAGUAUGUCUGUCAAUGGCUAGUUGGGUGCUUUCUUUUUGAGUGAUGGAGAGGGAAAAGGAAGAGUAGGGACAAGAGGAAGAGGUCACAUGGAGCUGCAGUUGAAGAUAGAGAGAGAUUGAUUGGGUUACAGCUGUGCUUCAUCAAUGCAUCAAUUAACGCGUCGUCCAAUUCUGGUACAGUUUUGUUCGCGCAAGGGAGAGAGUAGAAAGAAAUGAUUCUGUGUGUUAGGUUCCACAAGAUAGAUUUGUGGUAUGAUGGGUUUCUUGAAAUGUGGCAGUAUCUAAAUGGGUGUUAUGGGAAGUGACAAGUGGAAAUACUGUGUUAAACGGUGUCGAAUUCGUCUCUUUCUCUAUUUUGCGCAAAGGGUGGCGAAUAAGACAGCGGUACAUUCGGCAGGUUGUCCUAAACGACGCGGCUGGUCGGACAUGUUCGGUCCCACAUUAAAGUCAUAUAUGUAUAAUAUUAAUAUUACCAAUUAUUAAUCAUCUACUUCUCCAAAAAGAAAAAAAAAAUUAUGAAUCCCCUAGAUUGAUAAUUGAUCCCAACCUUAAACUUAACAAUAAAAAAAUCCUUUCAAUCAAAUUUUAAAAAACGGAAAGGUUGUUUUUCUUUUUCUAAUAUAAUAUCCUCAGAAGUGGAAUUAUUAGUGAGAUUUUGAACUCAAUUUUUAAAAAGAAAAUAUAAAUUAAUUAUGAUGCGGUUAAAACAGUAUUAUGGAAUCAGAUUGACCAGUGAGACCAGUUAAAAUAGAAAAUGACACUUUUAAUUUAAUUAUAAAGUUAGCCCAAUUUGUAGGGAACCAAAUGUUAGAAUAAUUGAAUUUUUUUAUAAAAAUAUAUUGUUUUCAUUUAACAAUUUUUUUAGAAAUUAUUGAGUAAAAUUUUUUUAUUUAUAUAUAUUAUUUUGUUUUAUAGGAUGCAUAUUUAAUGAGAAUAAUAUAUCAUAUAUAUUAACUAUUACAAAAAUAAUAUAUAUAUAAAUGUUAAAAAAAAAAAAGAUUGAAUCGGUCUGAUUUUAACUCAAUCAUAGCAUCGAUUCGGUUGUUGAUCCGGUUCACUUUGAUUUCGAGAAAUAUAUGGUCAGAUUUUUUUUGAGUUGCUGGCUAUUAUAAUAAAAAAUAAAUCCAAUUUUAUCCCUAUCCUAUUUUUCAAAAUUCGUUGGGUACAACAUUAUCAUGUAUGUAUCUGAAUAGUCGGUGCUAAAUGUUGGGAUAGAUUGACACAUUUAAUGAUCUUCCAAGGAGGCCAUCUAGCGUUCUCUAAUACAAGGCCAACUCCCUCACAAUUGAUUUUGCUCCGAGUAUAAUCUUGUAACUACCAGAAUACAUAUAUUCACCCCUCCAAUCUCACAUUUUAUAAUUUUAAUUUUGUAACAAUUUAAACUUUAUAAUAUGGUUUAUCAUGCAUCUGAAUUUACAAAUUUUAAUAACACUGCAUAUAUUUACACAUUAAAGAUAAUAAUUUUUAAAGUUUUUUAAUUUUUAUAUGUAAAAUGCUGAUUUGAUAUGUAAUUAGUAUAAUUUUUGUAUAAAUAUUUAAGUAAUCUAAUUUCGUAAAUCAAAGUGUUUAAUUUAUGUAAUUUUAUAAUUUAAAGUAAAAAAAAAAGCCGAAAGUGACAUAAAUUUAAACUAAUAAGGUUUAGGGAUGGAUUUAUGUAUUAAUUAUUUAGAUUUCUUCUUUCUAAAUUUUCUUUCUAUAUUGUGUGCAGUAAGAGAGAGAAUAUAUUUGCUAAGUUGAUGUAAAAUCUAGAUCAUCUUUCUUUGCAUUUAUCUAUGAAGUUCAGAAUCUUAUAAUUCAUGUUUAAUUUCUUAAUAAUAAAAAUUAACAUUUGAAAUCAAGUUAAAUUCUGAGAUUGAAGAGAAUUAUUGCAACCAAAAAAAAAAAAAAAACUACUAAUAAAGGUAAAUGGGCUCGCAAGCGCAUAUUAUCUUGGAUUUAAAUUCAUAGGCUUAAAAACCCAAAAGACCAUUCAUUUUGUUCAUCAAAAGCCAAGCCCACCUAUAGACUUUUCAAGCCCAAAAGAAAGGGCUAGAUUGGGCACAAAUUGAAAGUCAAUAAUCAAAAUGGAGAACACGAGUAGCUUGAUGAAGGAGAUAGGGUGCUUGGAAUUUGGAUCUGUUUCUAUGGGCUGCCCUAGAAAUAGAACACCUACCUAAACUAUAUGCCAAUAGAUUGAAUUUAAGACUUUCAAUCGCUCCAUACUGUAAAAAAGAAAUGAACCCAACUUCUAACUAGUCGCUUAUCACUGCUUAUCACUUAUUAUGAUUCAUAAACUCGGUCUAGACAAGAUAAUCAUUUAAAUUUUUUAAAUAUAUAUAUAUAUUACCCACACAUAUUAAUUUUUCUGACCAAGCUCACCCCCAAGGCUCUUGGAUUCUCUUAAUGAGGCUAUAAGAUUGGACAAAAGCUAUGACAAAUAAUAUAUAUAUAUAUAUAAUGCAGUACUUAUAUAAUUAAGAAAUUAAAGAAACCGUGACAACCAAUGAGAUAACUCAAUCAUUACUCAGUAUGACAAUCUCAGCUGUUAGUGGUCCGUUAUUCAUUGUUUUUACUGUCAUACAGAUUCCUUUCUUCUCUCCAUAUAUAUUUGCAUGCUGAAAAUGGCAGAGAGAACCCACAGGAAAAUGCCAUUUUAGUCCAGUUCUAAAUGGAUUAAUUAAAGAACAAACUUUAAAAAAAAAAGAAAAGAAAAGAAAAAAACUUAUCGUUCCAAUUGGACUGAACAGAGCUGAAUGCGUGUAAGUAUUAAUUUCAUGACCUAUAUAGUUUUGACGAAAGUGCACCGACCCUUAAUUCUUAGCUAGCUUUUACAUUUUUUGCAGGGGUUGACACUGCAAUUUUGUGCAUUUAUGAAACCAAACUGUCACUCUCUCUUUAUAUAUAUAGUACAGUUGAAUUUUAGAGCCCGCGUGUGAGGACCUAUUAUUGCACCAAGCUCAAGCUGUUCAUGAGCUGAGUAUGAACUUUGGAAAUAUUAAAUUUUCCAAAAAUCUGGCUCAUUGGGUUUGUAACUCUUUUUUUAUAAAUUGAAAUUUAACCGUUAUGUAAAUGAGACUAAUUUAUGUCUGACAUGGAUUGUAUUCAGCUAAACUCAGUUUUUUUUUAAAGAACGACUCCAAGUCUCAAAUCUCUUAUUUUACAAGUAUAGUUGACUUAAAAUAUAGUUUACAUCAACUGUUCCAACUUUUUUCAGAGUUUUGUGGGAAGCAGUGGCAGUAAAAAAAAAAAAAUGUUAAUGGUGAUUAUGAGAAAUAAAAGGUAGACAACGUGAAAAGAAGCAGCUGCAAUGUGGGUAUUGGUUUGUCCAUUUUGGGGUAACUUAUGGGAGAGAAAGGAGGGGCGAAGAUUAUCAUGUUGAAGGAAAAGACAGAGAAAAGGGACCAUUUUCUGAGGAAAAUGGCAAUUAUCUCGUCAGUGUUAGAAUAAAAAAUAAUAUCAUAAACAGUAGUGUUUUGUGUAAUUCUUUUAUCUUAUUUUAUUUGCUUAUAGAAACAGAAUGAAUUGUAGGUUACUUUGAGUAUACUCAGAAUUGUAAGGAUAAAUCUCUAGUGAGUUCUAUUUAAUGUCCAAUUGAAGAGAGAGAGGUCCUCUACCACGUGCAUAUCUUAAAUCUUUAUGCUGUAGAGAUAAGAUAAUAAUAAUUCAAGAGAAAAGGAAAGAACUAUAUUGAACAACUCACACUCUCGCACUCAUAAACAGCCAUUCUUUACAUUUUGGAUUCUUUCUGUAUUUAGUUUUGAUGCCUUCAGUAUAGAACAGAACAUGUUCCCUUAUUUGAAUCAUCUUCUUCUAUUAGACUACGUGUUUUUCUAUAUAUAUAUAUAUAUAUAUAUAUAUAUAACAUUUUUCAUUUACUUUAUUUAACAAGAGAUUUAAAAUCUUACCGCAUUUUAUUUCUUUUUCACUAUUAAAUUAAACGAGUCGAGUUGAAUUGUAACGAACUCGAACAAAGUACUUAGACUCAAAUUUAAAUUCAAAUUUGAGCUCCACCCAUUUACUAAAUUUUAUUAAAUUUAUCAAAGGAAUAAAAAAAUAAUUUUAAAGGAAAUAUGAUGUCAUAACUAAGUUGCAAGAUUGGACUUACUUCCACAAGGAUAGAGAGCCGAAAGGCACCUUACACAAAUAAAGUCAAAUCACCAGCUAGCACCUAAAGAAAUUUACCAGUACAAAAGAAAUGAUCAGCUCAUGUACUUGCUCUACGAGUCGGACAGAGUCACAAUCAACCCUAAUCUGCUUUGAAAAGUGUGCCAAAGGGAGCAGCCCGAGAGGUGCGUCAGUUAAUGUACUAAUGAUCAUAACCCACCACCGGAAAGCCGGAAUGCUCCGCCGGCGGUGAUCUGUAAAUCAUAGAAUUGGCUGGUUAAUUUGCUUUGAGAAUAAUAAAUUAUGGGUCAAGGUGGGCGUUGGUGAUCUUCUGACAAAUGGCAUGUGAGUGGGGUUUCAAUAGUUCUUUUGUUAGUGAAAAAAAAUAUUUUAAAUUAGAAAUGGGAAAGAAAAAUCAAUCUAAGUAAGCAAAGCAAUAGCACUUACACAACUCAAAGAUCAAAAGCACUUAUUAUUAAAGGGGAUGCCAUAAAAGAAAGUCUCUCAAAGGGGUUCAUGCACCAGUACUCUUUAAUCUGAGCCUUCUACUUUGUGGGCCUAGUUUCAUGAAAGGUCUAUUUACCAUUGAUCUUUUCUACUUAUAGUUUAGAUUUUUCUAUUCAUUUAUCACUGGUAAAGAUCCAACGGCUGUUAAUCAAUAUCUUUAGAUUUAGGCCCACAUAAUGGGCGGUCACUAUCAAAAAUCAUAAAUUCAUCAUAAAUGAUCUCUGAGUCUUCUCUUUCUCUCUCUGUCAACUUUGCAUGAAUAAAAUAUUACAAACAAGUUGCUAUAUAAAGACUCACUUCUGUAACCCUACUGAAUUGGUGAUGGGUUUCUGAGAUAAUCCUGAACUUUCCAUCUCUAUAUUACACUUUUCUUCUACUUCUCCAUUUUUUUUUCUUUUAUCUCUCUGCUGCAUAAACAUCAAAAUCUUAAAAAAAUUAAAAAAGAAACCUAGUUUCUCUCUCUCUUAAGCUUCUCUCUUCUUCUUUCAGUUUCUCCAUACCUCUGUUACUCAGUUCAUCAAUCUCUCUCUCUCUUUCAGCCCAUUCUUUUCUCCAUACAGAGACUUUCUUUUCUUUCCUAAAUUCUUGGGUUCUUUCUUUCGUUCUUUCUUUUAUAAGCAUGGAUGUUGACAUGAUGAAAUCAUCAUCAUCAUCAUCAUCAGGAGAGGAACACAUGGACAUGAUGACAAUGAUGAUGCAAAUGGAAAAGCUUCCUGAUUUUUGUGACCCUAAUAUGCAACAAGAAAUCCAUUUUGGCUCCAAUGGAAAUAAUACUAUUUAUAAUGUUUCUGCUUCUUCUUCACUUCUUAACCCUAACCCAUCUCCUUCUUUACCAUUUUUGGCCACUACAACUCCAAUUCAAGAACCCAUUACAGGAUCUCUUCAGCCUAAUAUGGUAACAGCAACAAAAUUCAAAUAUCCACCUCCAUUUUCAAAUGCAAACUCGUUUUUAUCAUCAAUGGAAAAGAAAAACUCAACAGCAGCCAUUAGAGAAAUGAUUUUUCGCAUUGCUGCUAUGCAACCGAUUCAUAUAGACCCAGAAUCGAUAAAGCCUCCAAAAAGAAGGAACGUUAAAAUAUCUAAAGAUCCACAGAGUGUAGCAGCAAGGCAUAGGAGGGAAAGAAUAAGCGAAAGGAUAAGGAUUUUACAAAGAUUAGUUCCAGGAGGGACUAAAAUGGACACUGCUUCUAUGUUAGAUGAGGCUAUACAUUAUGUCAAGUUUUUGAAAAAGCAAGUGCAGUCUUUAGAACAAGCUGGGUCUAAUAGACCAAUGGCUGGCUUUCCGUUUUCAGGUUUAACAAUGCCUAAUAUGGGUUAUUCUUCUUUGGUUAAGAAUUGCCAGUCAAGUCCUCAUAUGGUGGGCUCAAUGCAGAUACUUAGAUAAAAGACAGGAUUGGGUUAAGGUUAAUUAUAUGAUUUUAAUGUGCAUUAGUUGUGGUUUGAGAGAUAUUGUAAAUUACUUAAGAUUAUUCAGCUGUUAUCUUGUUCCCUUUGUUGUGUAAUAUUAUUUCAAAUUGAUGAUUCUAAUUAUCAUUAUUAAUUAAUGUAAGCCUUGUUCCAAAAAUUCUAUUGUAUCUCUUCUCUCGUUAGAAUGUUGAAAAGAUCAAUGUCUAAUCUAUGACUUAAUUAAUUAAUUAUCAUAUCAAGUAAUUAAUGAAAUGGACUUAGAAAAAAGGAAUAUAGAUGCAUACGGCCUGUUUAAAUCUUCUUUCUGUCUGUCUGUCUUUCUUUUCCCCCUCUCUAUUUCUUCACUCUUGUUCGUUUUUAGAAACUUUCUUUUCUGUUUUUGAACUUCUAGAGAUUUUUCUUCUUUUCUUUUUUUCCUUUUCUAUAUAUACUCCAAAAGAAAAAUCUUAUAUAAGUGUCAAAGACUUAGAGAGUCAACAGUACUAAUAUAUAUAUGUAACCAUGCCAUGCUGUAAAGUUGGUUGGGAUAGUUUUAACACCUUAAACCUUGGAUCUUUUGUUACAUUAUGAAGCAGAUAUUUAAUUGUUUAGUUAUUAGGCAAAGGUCUAUGUAGUUUGUACUAAAUGUUAUGAACAAUAUGUACUUGAUUUUGAGCAAUUGAAGGAUCAAUUUAUUUUUUAUCGAAGAAUACAAAAUGAGGAAGCCUCUCAAUGGAGCGUUUGAAUGAGAAAAGCACGGACAGAAUCUGGUAAAAAUUCAGAACUAAGCUAUAAUUGCCUUCUGGGGUUCGACCAACAUUAAUUGAACCUUUACAGUAAGUGAAAUGGGGAUUGCCCAAAAGGUCGAUCGGUUACAUAUUUCCCAUACUUUGUACACAAAAAUAAGAGAUGAAUGUUGAGCUGUACAAAGAUAGUUUGGCACCCAACUUGCAGGAGAUGCUUCUCUUGAAGAGACUCCAUUCAAUAUCUUUUGUAAUUCAGUGUUCAUUGUAUACUGUUGUUCUACCAAAAUUCCUUUAGAUUCAACUUUAUCAUUGGAAUGGCUCACCCGAUCAAUUAUUUUUGGCACCCAUUCUAACCAUUCUGCUGUUUCAGACUAUUCCUUCUGACGAUCGAUUCUCAACUUCUUGCAAAAAGAAAAGACACAACUUGGUAAAGAUUCAACAGCCUAUUAUUCUGCUGGAGAAUAUGAUUAGAUUUCAUCAGAUUAGGAAAGAACCAAGCCAUCCUUAUCUAUACAUGGCUUUAUCAGUAUUUUAAAUUGCAACAUUCAAUUUUCAACCAUUAACUUUUUAUUGUUCGAGGAGUUCAAAUGAGAAGGCAUUGGAAAAUAAGAGGGACAAAAGAAUACUAUUUAGAAGACUAAAUCAAAUUGUCAUCAACUAACACCAGAGAUAUGAGUGCACAGUUGUUUUUACGUACUCUUCAAUCACAAAUAAUUAGAAAAAAGAAAUAUGAGAAAUGACUUAAACGAUAAGAUAUGUUUGAGUUGAGUGGACGGUUUCUAUAAAAAAAAUUACUUAUAAGAUAACUACGAAUUCUAAAACUAAAAUAAUCGUAUACUGAAAAAGUAUGACCUAGAAUAUAUAAUUAAAAAGCCGUGUAAAUUUGGGAUUUUCAUAAUAAUGCCAAAAAAUAAUUAAAAAAAAAAAUAGGCAACAUUAAUCUGAGUGGCCAAACUAAGUCACGCUCCAAAUCUCGUUAUCUCUGGAAAACUAAGACAACUAGUAUUUUUGUGAAUAGUUAACAUAAAACAAUUGAUUUUAGGAAUUCCAAAAAAAGGAAGAUUUAUUUUGGAAAUUGCAUUUGUGGGAGAAUUAAAAAAUUUUAUACUUUAUUAGUUAAAUUAAAAUUAUGUAUUCCACUCAAAAAAAAAAAAAAAAUGGAAGCAUACCUCCUAAUUUAUUUUUCUAAAUAUAAAAAAUACAUUUUNNNNNNNNNNNNNNNNNNNNNNNNNNNNNNNNNNNNNNNNNNNNNNNNNNNNNNNNNNNNNNNNNNNNNNNNNNNNNNNNNNNNNNNNNNNNNNNNNNNNNNNNNNNNNNNNNNNNNNNNNNNNNNNNNNNNNNNNNNNNNNNNNAAUAUAUAUAUAUAUAUAUAUAUAUAUAUAUAUAUAUAUUUCAGCUUAAUCUAACAUAGAAAGAUUUUUUUUUUUCUAUGGAUAUUAUCGUAAGUUUUAUAUUGUUGGUUGUUCUUACAUGUUAUUUAAAAAAGAGUUACCAAGGUCUUCUUUUGGUUUGGUGUCGGGCUAUGGCAAUGUUAUCUUGCAGGUUGAUUCAACUAGCCUCAACAUAGAUCACCAGGUCUGAUUAUGGCUUGUCAAAAACUUCUUCUUCGUUAAUGGCAGGUUUCCAUUACAAAGAUUUAUAAAGAAGCAAUUUUUGCAGCAAUCGCCUUUGACUUUUCCUAGCGGAAUUAAUGUGUUAAAUCAACUUUUCCAUGGCAAUAAGAAGAUCGAUAGAAGUUGAUAGUUGUAGUGUGUUUUUUCCCUCGAACUAUUGCAGUGUAGAUUGGGUUUACAGCCCUCCACUUAGAUCAAAAUAAAUAAAAAAAUAACUUGCAACAAAGCUAAUAUUAUUGACUAACUUUCAUCCAUUACAUUAAUGGAAAAAAAAAAAAAAAAAACAUAUCAUUUAUACUAGAUUUAUGAGGUUGGUGAAGAAGUAUGACAUUUUAUAUAUGAUCUAGCUAGUUUCAAAUUUAGGAUUUUGAUAUGUAAAAAGCGAGAAAUAAAUCUAUUGAUCAAGUAAGUUAAUCAUUCUUGUAUAUUUUCCAUUGCAAGAUUUACAACAACGUAAUACAUGUCCUUUUAUUUAGAUUUUAUAUAUCAAUUCGUCAGAUGAAAAAGAAAUUGUUAGAAUCUUGAAGAAAUUACAAACUUUAUUAGUAUUUAACCAAAUGAGCUAAAAUCAGAAUGCAACUUUAUAUGCAAUUUUUAAAUAUGUUCUAUAUAUACUGAAUUAAAUGAAAUCUUUUCAAAGCAAAACAAACUUUUCCUCUAUUUUAAUUAGUCAAACAUCAUACUACAAAAAAAAAAAAAAAAAAAUCAGACAGUUGAAGUUAUUAUAAGUAGUUAGCAAAGUUGACUAAUGAAAUUUUAUCUUAAACAGAAUGGUCUGAAAAAGACAUCAACACGAGUGGGAUUAUAGAAAAAAAAAAAAAAAACCAAUUUGAUAAUUUAUUUAGUUAUUUAAAAAUUUUAGUUUAUUAAUUUGGAAUGGGCAGGUAGGUUGCCUCCCAAGGCAGGGUCGAAUUAUGGUAGUGUUGAUGUCUUAAGGAUCAUGCUUCGCUAAAAGCCAAUCUCUCUCCCUCUUUCUCACCUCUAGCUAUCCAAAUAAAGCCAAAGUGGGUAUUAUUAUUAUUAUUACUGUUAUUUUUAAUUUAUUAUUAUAUAAAAACUAUAUUAUAAAGAGAAGAGAAUUAAAGAAAAAGAUAAAAAUGGUCAAACCGCAUCUAACAAAUAGAAAGGCAUGUGUGAUAUGCCACUAAGGUCCCAACAUACCCACAGUGGGCUUUUGAUUAUUUGAAUUUAGGACAUUUUAUAUAUAUAGUGCAUUGUAUUGUAUCCCUCUUUCUGACACAUUCUAUCAUUCUUUUUAUCAUUUCAUUCAUAUACCCAUCUACCUCUUUUCUUAGGAUAAGUUCCCAUGUUCUUUGUGGCAGGAUAAAAAAGCCUAUAAUAAGAACAUUCUUAGAAUUUUUUUUUUUUUUUUUACCCUUUUCAUUAUCUUUUUCUAUCUCCAUAAUUAAAGAUCAAUGCGCUUUUUUGUUAGCUAAUGGUUUUGAAUUAAUUGAAUGUUAGUUAUAUAUGACUUUCAGAGAAUUAAUUACUAAAUAUGUUAGAAUUAACUGAUUAAGGGACUAUAUAGUAUUUUUUUUUUAUAUAUAAUUAAUGAAUUAUUUAUUACUUUAAAAGACUAAGGGAGGUGAUACAAUAAUGCUAGGGAGGUGCGACUAUAAAUGCAAAUUGCCAAAUAGGUCAAAUGAGAUUUAAACAUAUUACAUAGGUUGAAAUGUGAAAAUAAUUUUUUUUUAAAAAAAAAAAAUUACAUGAUGCGAACAGAGACAAUAAAAUGGUUGGUUGGAUUAGACCUUGGCAGAAGUGCUCACUUUAUAGGGACAGGUGGAGAGGACUUACUCUCAUCUAUUUUUCUUUUGGUUUGAUUUGGACUUUUUAAGAGUUUCUUCCAAUUCCAUUAUUUCUGUCCCUUAUGCAAGGUGAGAUGAAUUUUAAUUUUUCAAAUCCGACAAAAUAAAUUUCGACAAAUCAAUCAUUCUACAUGGCUUUGCCUCUUCUCCGGGAUUUUUUUUUUUAAAGAAUAAAAUAAAAUAAUUGUUCUUAAAUUCUACCACAUCAAAUCACUAUUUUCAGAUUUCGAACUUUUCACCUUAUAAAGUAAAAUUCGCUGAGUUGAUCCAACCACUUAUUGAAAAAAUGAAAAAAAAAAUGCCCAUUUCAACGUCAAUAAUGCAAAAAAAAAAAAAAAAAAAAAAAAAAAUUGCAUGGGAUUUUGGGUUGGGUUGGGCUGAAGUUGAUUUAGUUGGGCCAUAACCUCAAUUGAUUGCAGGAAGAGUUUCCCGAUUAACAAUUAUUAUUAUUAUUAUAAUUUAUAUCAAUCCCUUGAUUUCCUAUAUUUAAAAGAUUUUUAUUUAGUUAGUAUCUACAUACAUAUAUAAAAAUAGCAGAUUCAAAUUUGUUGAAGCUAGAGCUAGCUAGACAGGGUUGAGUGAAGAAAGAUGGCCCUGUUCUACGAGUGAUCCAAUACAAUCAUCAAACAUUUUCUUUAUGGACUUGAACUCAAAUCCUAAGCUCUUCAAUUUUGAUGUGUUAAAAUCAUAAAAUGGUCUGUUUAGUUGCUCAAACCUGAAAAAAACCAAUAAAACAUCAACUGGCACUGUUAGUUACUGACAAGAGAAAUUUUGUUCUAUAAUCACUAUUAUUAUAAUUACCUUUUUGGGACGGGUAGAGAAGGAUAAUGAGCUGAUAAGAACGAAACUAGUUCAUCAUUAUCUAAAACUGAUGAGCUACAUAGGUAUCUUCCAACAGCACUUUGAUGUUCAUAAACAAGGAUAUGGCAAAGUGCCACAUCAUCUAUGUGAACAUACCCCAUCCUUCCAUGCCACUUGAAUUUCUCAGUUUCCCCUGUUUCAUCCAUUCAUGUUGUUUAGAAAUACCAAAUCAAGCCCGCUCUAACAAUACACUUUCCGUUGAGCCGUAACGUAAUAUAAUGUAUCAAACCUAUUUUUAAUGUAAUCUUUACACUAAAAAUGCAUUUAUUAUAUUACAUUAUAUUUCAUUACAGUUCAUUACAGUUCAUUAAAUGAAGGUUUGGUAUAAAUGAAUUCAAAAUUGAAAAUUUAUUUACUUUUAUAAAAAAAGGAGAAUUGAAUUUUAACUCUAUGAAUUUGAAUAUAACUAAAUCAAAUUGAAUUUAUAUCCACCUUUCUUGAAUGAAAUUUGGUUUAAUUGUAUUCAAAUCCACGGAAUCGAAUUCGUGGAAUCGAAUUCUUAAUAUCUUUUGAUACCAAACAUAAAAAUUUAGAUUUAUAACUGAAUUUCAGAAAAUCUCGUGAUAUUUAUUUGUACCAAACAAGGUUAAUAUCAUUUUAACUGCUGUUUAGCAUCGUUUUUAAAGAAUUUGAAGCACCUCGAAGCAGGCCAAGAACAUCAGAUGCAGUAGAACACAAUUGAGUUGGCAAACUAGGACCGAUCACGAAGGAAGGAAGAACAGUUAUCAAAUGAAUCCCAUUUUUGUUGCAGAAAUCCCAUGCAGCUCUUUCAGCUAGUGUUUUUGAUAAAGGAUACCAUAGCUUCAUAUUCAUUAACACGUUAGCCUUUUGUUGUUCUAAUACAAUGUAGUAUUAAUUAUAACUAUAAAUUAACAGCAAUUUUUUACCUGCAGUGUCUCGCAAAGUUCAACAGAGCUCCAAGACGACUCGUCAAAAGGUACUGUGGGCUCAAAAUCAUCUCUAACUCUUACAGUUGAUGACGAUGAGGUCAGAAUUACACGCUUUAGAGAUGGAUUUUUUGCGCAAGAAUUCAAUACAUUCAACGUGCCUUUUACAGCCGGUUCCAAGAUUUCUGCCUGCAACACCAAAAUUUUAAAAAGAAAAAGAAUUACAUUUGCAUAUUAAUUAGAAAGACAAAAAGUCUAAUUUGGUGUUUCUGCAACUUAAUAAGAAACACAUUUUGGACAAGUAAAAAGAAAGAAGACAAUGCCUUUGGAUCAGAGGAGGGUUUGAGCACAGGGGAGGCAGUGUGAAAUACACCAUGGCAGCCAAAUAUUGCAUCAUCAAAGCUGCCUAUUUCCAUUAAGUCAGCUUUCACUAAUUGAAGUCUCUCAGAAGCUCCUUCUAACUUCCACAAGUGAGCUAAUUGCUUCUCAUUUCCUAUUAACAAACAUACAAAAUAUAAUAAUGACUUUUUUCUUAAAUAAUUACAAUUAAUUAGAUCGUUUUUAGUAAAAGCAAGAGAGACAAACCUGGAUCUCUUACUGUUCCAAUGACUUGGUAUCCUGAUAAUAGCAGUCGCUUGAUAAGCCAAGAAGCCAAAAACCCAGAAGCACCUGUUACACAAACUUUGCCUUCUACUUGAUCCAUGUAUAAGUUCUUGGUUCAAACUAAUUAAUAGUGUAAUUGCAUCCAAAUGGUUGAUCGAAUAUAUAAGAUUGGAUUAUCUUAGUAGGUGGCAAGUAGGAUUGUGGAUUAAUAAGAAGGUAGGUCAUGCUAUGCAUGCAUGAAAAGCAAUUACACUCUUCUUUUCAUGUUAUUUAGUAUUAGGUAAAGCUAUAAAUAUAUCAUUGAUGUAAUGGACCCGUUCAGGCUUUUCUGAUUUGGGCCUCAACUGGUCCAUAUCUUUUGUGCAAAAGCUUUCAGCUUCAAAACACAGUCCAAAUUGAUUUGGGCCUCUCGAUCACGAGAUGAAUGGCUGGGUGGUCCAACUGAUCCAUAUCCUAAGUAGUAACAAUGUCCUCUUACUAUUUGAUCAUUUUUAGGAUCCAUUGUGAAGCUAAUAUAGUGUCAAAUAUUCUCUCUAAUGAAGUUCUUGAAAGUUGGGUUGGGGUUUGGUGAAGCUGGAGCAUCCUUCUUCUCAAGUUUAGCUAAUAGGGUAUAGGCUUUCUAGCCUAGGUAAGUGUCUACCUUACCCCGAUUUAUUUAGGGUUGUCAAAACAAAUUUGUGUAAGUAUCGAAUUAAUUUAAUACAGUAAAAUGAUUAUAGUGAAUAUUUACUGACAUAUUUAUUAACCGCAUCAAAAAUUUAAACUCUAACACAACACAUGUAAUAUAUGUUGUAACACAUGUGAUAUGUUUAAUUAAGUAGAUUGCACGUGGAUUAUAAAAUCCAACGUAAUGCUCGUAACUUACCUAUAAUAAGUAGCUCAAAUUCAACACUAACGUGUUUAAUUAAAUAUAAAUUACAAAUAGAUUUACGAGUCAACUCAUUACAUGAAUAUACUAAGACUCAAUCCCCUCGUAUUAAUUUUAGAUGUUCGGUGAAUUCAUACGUACAUACGUCACAGUCCAAUUUGAUAGACCUAAAUUUUUUUUCUCUCAUUAUCAAAAAAUAAUAUAAAAUAUACCUAAUCAAAUAAAAUGAAGCAUGGAAAGAUACCCAAUCUUAUUUUAUUUCACAGCAAGUGUAAUUCUGAUUUCUCCGGUCCAUAAGCAGCGCAAGUGUGUCUUUAACCCAUGUGUUUGGCCAUUGUUCGUCAAAUCCAGUUACGUACGUAGAGCAAACCCACAGAUAUUUAUUCCUAAGAUAAAGAUUAAUGAAAGUCAACAAAUGGGAAACCUCUUUGGUCUCUGUCGGAACCAAAAAAAAUAUUGAAAGGACAUAUGAAUGAAUAUAUCCAUUCAUAUAGGAUAAGUCAUGGAAUUACACAUUGGAAUGGUCACGUAAAUUUUAUGUACACUCACAUUUCCACUUCCUUGUAAAUUCCCAUUUGUGUUUGACUGUGACCUAAUUCAUCCUUUUAUUUAUGCUAUUAAAGGAUGACAAUUUCCUAAUAAAAUACUAAUAUUUGAAAGAAAGAUUUAAAUUAUGAUUAUCGUCUAAGAUUGACCCUUGAUUUAUCCGUAAUGAGCUGCUUCUUGGAAACUCACCAGUUGAAACUGCACUUGUGUGAACAAUUCUUUUUUUUUUUUUUUAUUAAAUAACAAUAUUUAAACGUGCUCCUUCAAUUGUUUUGUGCGUGAUGGUUUUUUACUCUUCUUCUUUGAUUAUUCAAUUCUAACCCAAAAGGUCAAAAUUAAAUUUCUCAGCAUAAAUAAAUAAAUAAAUAAAUAUAUAUAUAUAUAUAUGUAUAAUAUAAUAUCCAAGUAAAGAGUGACUGAGGGAGUUCCUACUUCCUACUCCUAUAUUCCAUGAUUUGUGGAUCAAAUCCACUUGAUAUGGGUCCCGCUUAUGCAAUUAUAAUAAUCACCGUUGGAGGCCCAACAUGGCAAUAUGCCCCAGUGGAGAAAGAAAACAAAAACCAAACAAUAAUUCUGGAGAAUUUAUAUAUUAUGCCAAAAUUCAUUAGUUGGUACUUAUAUUUUUUGUUAUUUAAUCCUUAAUAUUUUCUAACGUCAAAUGUUGAGUCCUUCUGUCUAUUUUUUUCUUUACUUCUGAAUUAAAAAAAGCAUUGUGAAAAGAUGAAGAUACUUUUAUGUACCCAUAAGUUCAGUUAAAUAUAAAUUGGUGGACAAUUUAUUUUUUGUAUUCGGUUGACACCGCAAUUGUUCUAAAUUCAUUGGACUAAGUUUAAUUCUACUCGCAUUACGGAUCAACAAGAGCAUAUGCUCACAGCAGUUACAAGACAAACUAAUAAAUUUUAGGAUAAUGUAGAAAUGUUAUAAUAAUAUUUUUCAAUAAUUUUUUAAUCCAGUCAAAAUAACACCCUUUAAUCAAGUUUAAAAGGUAUGCAAGUAAGAUUUUUCGAUAAUACUGAUUGUUGGAUUUAAACUUCUGAAUAUACAAAUAAAAUACAUUUGAGAAAGCACUUCAUUCAACUGUAAUUUUUUUUUAUCCUACUUAUCGAUAAUCAUUACCAACUACAGUAAUUACAAGCAGUUAAAUCCUAAUAAUUUAAAGUUUAUAUAAUCGCUUAAUCUAGUAAAUACAAUAUGAAACAACCAAAUUAUCUCUUUUUUCAAAAAAAAUUUCCUUUAGGAGAAAAUUUUCAAAAUCAGUAGAGGCAGGAUCUUGAAAGGUCGAAUCAAACAUGGCUGCAAGUGGGUCAGCCCACUUAGAGUAGAAAAUAUAAAAUCUUUAGGAGCUUUCAAACGAAGCAAAAACAAGGCUGCAGAUAUGGAAAUUGACUGUUAUACAGCCAUGGACCGUAUUUGGUGCACUUGCAAUUUGCAGCAAAUUGCAUGUUUCGGUGGCUACUAAUAUAUUAUUUUUUAACGUCUACUUGCAAAGUUUGGACCGUCCGCUUCCCAUUAGACCCAAUUUGACUGAACACGGUCGCACCGUCGGCUUCACCUUGUGGUUCUAUGAAUCUGAACUCACGUGGUCUUAUCCAUUAACCGACAAAUUAGGAUCGCACUGUUUUUAUCCUCCCUUUGCUCAUCAAAAUUUGACAGUUUGGCGGCGAUUCAGAUUUUUUUCUGUUCAAAAUUCUUUUUUUUUUCCCCUUCCACUCAAAGCUAUUUUAAUGGAGUCAAAUGUCUAACAGUUGUUUUUUGAAAGUAGAUAUUAAUAGUUGUUCAAACUAUUAAACUUUAUUAUUAUAUGGUUGAAGUAAACUAAUAAAGCGGCUCAAGAAAAAAAUCUAGCCCAUUACAGUUAUUUAUUUAAUAAAAAAAUACUUGCUUAUUGUCAUUGUACAUCAACUGUAACAAUAAUCAACAGGGUUAAUUUACAUGCAAAGGACUUAAGUCCCUUAAAUAGAGAUAAAUAUUUAAUGGGUAAUUUGAAUAACAUUUUUAACCGAAAUAAAAUAAAUUAAUUUUUUAAUCGAAUUUAAUCAAAUCGUUUUGACCAAAUUAAUUUUGACUAUAAGUUAAAGAAAAUGAAAAUUUAAUUAACUGACUGAAUUUAAUAAAAAUUUAUGAUUAACUGACUUUAAUCGAAAUAAAAACUAACUAAAAUUAUUAAUCACUAGUUAAUCCAAAUAAAAUUAAUAUUUUUUAAUUUUUAAUUUUAUUAUCUAAUUAAUCAAAACGAUAUAGUUUUGAAAGUCGAUUAAUUUGAUUAAUUCGGUUAAAUUAACUUUGCACCGAUCACCGAAAAUCUAAUUUUUUUUAAUCAAACAUUUAUUCAUCGAAUUGAAUUGCUCAAAUUAGCUGAACCAAAUGCUCAACCUACCCUUAAAUAAGAGACCAAAUGUUUGAUCAUUGUAAAUAAAGGCAACCCAUUGCAAGUCUUUUCUCCUUAUGAAUUGGGAUACAAUAAAAUUUUAAAUUCGAAUAAAUUCAGAGUGGAGCGCUUAAAAUACUAAAGAAACUCUCUUUGAUCAUACUUAGUUUUGAAUUGUAUUAUAUCAAAUCCGAUAGAAUCAAAGUAUUUCGCCAUCUUUAAAUUUUCAAUUGACAUGCAUUUAAAAAAUUUUGGCAUUGUCUUUAUCUAAUAAACAAAAAUACUAAUCAUAUCUCCUCAACUUGAUGUACUAUUUGAUAUGCACAACAUCUCCUUCGAUUAAGGAAAAAACAAAUACUAUCAUGAGACUGCAGAGAAAAUCAUUUUAUGUAGAAUUUUUGUUAAUAAUGGUACUAUCACACCUGUGAAAGAAAUGUGUUGAAAGCUCCCAUGUCAAGUAAAUAGAAAGCAUCCUAACUAAGAAUUUAGAAAAUCCAAGAAACGUGACCCAUGAAAGGAAAAAGGGAUGCCAUUAGAUUCAGCAAAGAACACCCACCUAAUAAGUUAAGUAACACUCUAAAACAACACUAUCACACAAAGGAAUUGCCAAAUCCCAAGGAAAGUGAAAGCCCCAAUUCUCACCAUAUAAAAAAUCCCAUUUCUACUUGCAUCUCUCUCUGGUCCCACAAUAUUAUGUACUGUGUUGUGUUCACUUGACGUGAUGCGAGACUUGCAGCUUCAACUUGCUCUCUGCCCCUUUAUUGUUACCUUUUACUACCACCUAAAGAUAGUUAGGAAGGCACGUGACUCCAGCUUUGGAAUUUGGACUAUAACCACCCAUUAUAACUUCCGCCCACCAUUUUAUAUUCUCAUUUUAAUCCAAUUUAGUAUUGAAAAAAUCAAUACGUAUGUAUUUUCUUUAUGUUUAAGCAAGAGUAAAAUAAUAUGGUUGGGACCCAAAAGCGGUAGCAACUGGGCAACCAUGACAUGAGCAUUACAUUAGAUAUAAAAUUGAUAAAAAUGGAUUACCAUUACUACAACUUUUAUAUAUUCUUACGGAGAACGUGCCAACAUGUGAUGGCUAAGGUUGGCAGGCGGACCAUGAACAUGAACAUGAACAUGGUAUAUAAUAUACUGAUAAACCAAAUUUCAUGCACAAGUUGGCCAAUGUCAUGUCUUAAAUUUAGAAACUUGGAAUUUGUUAUCUUUUUCGCUGGAAAAGAGGGUUAUUUGAAUCUUACCAAAUUUCUGUAAUUUCUUGAUGGCUGUUAAAGACAUUAAUACAUGCUUUUUUUAGCUACGUCUAGGUGCAAGAUUUUCUUGGGAGUUUGGACCUUCCUUCUUCUUUUCUGACCUUCCUUCUUCUUUUCUUUAUUUUUUCAAAUUUUCCCAUCAAAAUGAAAUCUGAAAAUUACUAUAAAUUAUUUAAUGGAAGUUUCUCCAAUGGAGACAAAAGAAGAAAAGAUGAUUGGUAUAGAAUAGGAAGUAUCUUAGCAGAGGACCCAGUGUAUACGUGGAGAAGAGUGGUUGGUUGGAUAUGAAGCAAUGGAAGUUUCCUCUCUAUUACUAUUUCUUUCUAGCUAUGUUGAAGGAAAACAAUUCCUAUAUAUAAAAAGAAAGAAAAAAGGAAAUUCAUAAUAGUUCUACCACAUUGUGUGUGGAUAUAUAUAAACAAAUAAAUAGAGAGUGAGCUGUGAACAACUAUGAAAGAAAUGAGGAAUAGCAUAUGUUUUAUGUAAGUAGAAACUUCUUGGCUAAUGGAUAGGAUCAAAAGAAUAAGAUUUCUUUUGAUCUGAAAAGAUAUUUGUAUGACCUGUUCUUACCAUGUAAUCAACCACUCCUUGCAAAAACAACUUGUUCUUGCUGCUUCUUACUCCAUAACUAUGAAUUCCCAAUUAUUUCAAUUCGCAAGAUUCCAGAUAGUGUUUGAAUUAAUCUAUAAUUUUCAUAAUUAUUUAUAUAAUACCCACUAAAAUACGUGUAUUUACAUACAUAAAUUGAAUGUAUAGGCUAAUUAAUUUUGGGAAUAAUACCCGAAUUUGAUGGGGGAAAAAAUGUUGAAAAUGAUAUUGCAUUGCCAACUUCACAUUAAACACGCGUUUGGUGUUUGCGUCCAAAGACAGCUACAACAUGUAUAUAUAUAAGAAACACUCAGAUUCUAGACAUGAGUUAGGAAAGAAUAGUUAAUUAAUCAUUCAUAUCUUUUUUCUGCUACUUCAAGUCACAAUUAAAAAAAUGCUUACCACCCUACAAAUACACGUUGUUAGAAUAGUGUAUGUCAAGGUUAAAAAAUUGCUAUUUGCUAUUUUGGAUCAAAUUCAUUAUUUACAUAUUUUUCACAUUUCAGAUUUUUGUUUUAAAAAUUGUAUAUUCCAAGUUGUUCAAUUCUUCAAAUAAUUGAACAACUUACAUCUACUCUCUAAUUGUCUGCCGACAAGUCAAGAAAUCAUCAUAAAUUUUUUAAGAAAUCUCAACAGUUUUGUUAUGAUUAUUUAAUUUACAUGUUCACAUUUUAAACAUAUUUAUGUUUGUUAUUUGUAACAUUAUAAUUUAUGUUCAUGUAAUAAAAAUUGUGCCUCUGUUUUAAUAUUAUUAUCACUUGUAUUUUCUUUUUCACCAAAUGCUGCUAAUAUAAUAUAAAUGACAUCUAUUUACACGCGGACCACGUGGGUAUUUUGAAAUUAAUGUAAAAGUGAUAAUUUUACGUUUUAAAUGCUUGAUUUAGUAGAUAAAGUUUGACUAAAGAUAUAGUCUAGUGUCAAUAAUUCGAUUAUUUUAUAUAUCAUUUUAUUUCUAUCGCGUGUUAAUACUCAAUUAUUACAUAUAUUAUAAAAAUUAUAUAAAAUUCACAAAAUAAAAUAAAAAAAAUCAACUUCAAAAUCUUUUGCCACAAAACCGAAUCCACCUUAAUGUUAAUAUUCUAAUUAAUGUUGGGCAAUUCAAGAGAAUCUAAUUUUUUUCUUAUUGCCAAAGGAUGAUUUAAGAAAGAAAAUUACAAAAUCUUAUAAUUAAGGAAAAACAUAAUCCCUAUUCCUAACCGUGUAUCGUAUAGCCAAGCCAAGCAAACUGUAAACGUGUGUGUACAAACCAACACGCGUAGGCGUAGAUCAACGGUAAGAAUCCACCGAAUCGAAAGAAAGGAUCAACCAUAUCCACAUACUCUAUCACGGACACGUUUUUAAACAGCGCCUACCCGUUUUCUUUUUUCCAUAUUUUAAUUUCUUAAAUUGAAAAUUAGGAAAAAAAUUCACAAAUAUACAAAAUUUUUGAGUGCCGAAAAUAAAUUCCUUGCCUAUCACGUGCAUUAAAUGUAUACCGACAUUUAAUAUUCAAAGAACUGCCAGAAAAUCCUCUCUAUAUAUAAAUUGGGUUUGCUUGUGGGUUUUACCACUAGUUCGUUGUGACUUGCUACCUCUGUUCUCUCUUCCUUUGCCUCAAAGAAAGGGAAAAAACAAAUUCUACAAAUUUCACUCAAAAACCCAUCGAGAAAGAAACCAGUUCUUGCUCCAAUGGAUUGGAUUCGAGGUGAGUCGCUUGGUUGUGGUAGUUUUUCUUCUGUCAAUUUAGCCAUACCCAGAAAAAACUCCGCUCCAUUAAUGGCUGUGAAAUCUUGCGAUCUUUUUGACUCUGUUUUGCUCGAGAAUGAGAAGGAAGUGUUAUUGCAUCUUGGGAAGUGCGAGAAUGUGAUUCAGUGUCUUGGGAGUGAUCAAAGUGUUGAAAACGGUGAAAAGUUUUAUAAUUUGCUGUUAGAGUAUGCUUCUGGCGGCAGUUUAGCUAAACUUGUAAAGAAUUCCGGCGGUUGUUUACCGGAAUCGGAGAUUAAACGUUUCACAAGAUCGAUACUAAAGGGUCUUCGUGAUAUUCACGCAAAAGGGUUUGUUCACUGCGACAUAAAGCUUCAGAAUUUAUUGUUGUUUGAUAAUGGUGAAGUGAAAAUUGCGGAUUUUGGAUUAGCCACAAAAACAGGGGAAAAAUCGGGGAGAAUGGAAAUUCGAGGAACUCCUCUGUAUAUGUCGCCGGAAUCAGUCAACGAGAAUGAGUAUAAUUCACCAUGUGAUAUUUGGGCUCUUGGGUGUGCUUUGGUUGAGAUGGCGACGGGAAAACCGGCGUGGAAUUGCAAGAAAGAAACCAACGUAGCAGCUUUGUUGAUUCGAAUUGGAUUAGGAGAUGAAUUGCCAGAAAUUCCUCAAGAAUUGUCUAAAGAAGGAAAAGAUUUUCUAUCGAAGUGUUUUAUUAGAGAUCCUAAGUCAAGAUGGACGGCUGAGAUGUUAUUAGAUCAUUCUUUUGUUGCUGAUGACAUUAACAACUGUACUGUUACAUUGAAGAACAGAGAAGAAGAAGAAGAAUCACCGAGAUGUCCUUUUGAAUUUCCAGAAUGGAAUUCAUUUCCAUCUUCUACACCAAAAUCUGAAUUAUGGUCUCAUGGAGAAGCAGAAUCAAGAAUUGAUUGGUCUAAUUUGACCUGUUCAUCUUCGCUGGCGGAUAGAAUCCGGCAACUACAGAGUGAUCAGUGUUGCAAUUGGUCCUUCUCUGAAAGUUGGGUCACUGUUAGGUGAUAAAACAGAGCAGCAGUAAUUUCAGGACAUUUUUUUAAUUCAAUUAUUCAGAUUCCAUUUUUUGUAAUGGGUGAUGAUUUUUUGGAAUUGUAAAUGACUAGGAAACAAUUAGAGGGUAACAAAAUAUCUAGCAGACUAACUUUAGAUGAUUGUACAGUGGAAGAGUGUAUAGAACAUUUUUUAACAGAGUAAAAUAAUUUUCUUUUCCAAGAAAGGUCAUACUUGCAGAAAUCUUUUCUUCUUUUAAUGAAAUUGCUUAAUUUUUCAUUUUUUUUUUUUUUUACAGGCAUAGAACAGAGUGCAUGGUGGUAUGUUGGAUAUUUAUGAUUAUGUAUAAAUUAAGGCAUUAAACCCUACAAAAAGUCUCUCCCCUGUUUUUAUGGUUAUAUAUGUGUUCCUAAGAGUAAACUCUAUUGAUUGGAUUAUUUACUAUAAUUAGAAGAAAGUUUUUCUUAGUAUAAUUAAUAACAGCAUGCUUGAAUGAGAAAUUGGUUUGUGAUUUUUUUAAUUAAUUGCAAGGACCAACUUGGAGGAUCUGAAAAGUAGGGAAACAUCCUUGAAAUAUUCUCUGGAUUCCUUGCCAUAACUUCUUCAACAGUCAUUCUUGAUAAGUUUGGUGCAAUUGCUACCUAAAAAGAUAAUACUACAAUCCAAGCAGAUCCUUUUACAAUUAUAAUUUUUGAAAUACAUUAUAAAUUUUAUCAGGAAGCCAAAACUCAUUUAAGGGCAACUCAGCGUAAUAAAAACAGAGAGAUCCAAAUUGAUUGAAAAUGUAAAAAAGAUAAUUGCCUUCUCUUUGGAGAGUAAAAUCACCGUUAAUUGCUUGAAGCAUGUUGUCGUCAUUAACUAAUAAUUAACAAUGAUGGUACCAAAUAUCUUUCAUGAGGAUGAUCACACUUAGCGGAUGCUAUCAAUUUCGAUUUUCUUUCAUCACCUUAUUUAUGGAUUUGAUAUCUUUCAUCAUUUCCUUUUUCUUUUCUACAUAAACUAUCAGAAGAAUAAUUAGACUUAUGGUGUUAAUUGAUUUAAAUAUAUUAUAUUAAAUUUAUUUUUCCAAUCUAAUUAAGAUAAACCAGUAAUUACACAUUUUCUGCACUAUUUUGAAAUAUUAAAACUUAUGGUUCAUAUUUCUUGCUAACAGUUUUUAUAAUAGUGAGAAUACAAGUUUGAUUUUCGAUGAGCUUACUUAUUCUGAGAACAAAAAAAUCACUAAGUUAUAAAUUUUUUAACCAAUAUGAUUGUUAUUGGGAAGCAUGCCAUUAUCAAUCAAUAGACAAGCUAAAUAAUUAGGAUUAGUGUUAGGUUAAGGAUAUGAAUUGUGUAAUAAAAUAUUAGAGACAUGAGCUUCUCAUGUGAUAUUUAUAUAAAACACCAAUAUCAAUAUUGCUUUAAAAUCAUGUGAUUUAUGGGUUGGUGGAAAAGGUUUACAAUGCACCCAACUUCACAUGAUCCGGGUCCAUCCAAUGCAUCAUCCUUGUUUAACCAUUAAGAGUAAUUUUCACUUUGAAAAUUUUGCAACCCUAUUAUUUUGAAGUUUGGUUAUAUUGCUUUUACUUGGAAGUUUGUUUGGAUCCUUUUCUAGUCAUCUCAUAGGUCAUUUGAUACCAAAAUUUCCUCAUUUUAGCAUGUGGGGAAUAUACCCAAUUUUGUUUGACACCUUUGAUUGAAUGUAUGCAAUGUAUAUAUAUACAUGCCUAAUUCCAAGUUAGAUGUGAAAUAUAAAUAUAAAUUGUAUUGUUUCUUGCAUCAUAAAUAUCAUGUGAUAAGGAGAAAUAAAUAUUUUAAAUUUAUAAACACAUGCAUUGUAUUUGAAUUUCUGACCACAUAUAACUAUUACAUUUAAUUAGGACCAUAUUUGAAAUGUGCUUAAAUAAAUAUCCUUGCAUUAACUCGUAGUAGGUGCAAGUGAAUUGUUUCUCAUAUUAGCAUCAAACAUCAUUGUUUUCUAACUAAAACAAGUCUAAUUAAUGUGUGUAUAAUCUUGUUAGAAAAAUUUGAUAUUAAUUUGAGAAUUACAAUUUUAGCCCUUAAAAUUAGCAUAAAACUCAAUUUCAUGUUAAGUCUUACAAUAUUUAUCAAGUUUUAUUUAGACAUUUACCAUCGGAUAAAAUUCACUAACUCGGAUUUUAGAACAAACCCACAAAUAAAAAAAAAAAAAAACAUUGAGAUAAAAUCACUUGAAUAUGUAAUAAACUAAAGUCAUGUGGGCUCAAGGCUAAGGCUCCGUUUGUUUCAGUAAAAUAACUUACAGAAAAAUGUUUUCUACAAUUUUCCAUUAUUUGGUGCGCUCAAAAAAAUAAGUCAACAGAAAAUAUUUUUCUGAUUAAAGAAAAAUUAAGUCAUUUUUUUAAGGAAAACAACUUCUCAUUUUUUAGAGAGUAAAACAUUUUUUAGAUAUUGACAAACCGUAUAAAUCCAUAUUUUUUAAUUUAUUAAUCAUCAUAGUCACUACUACCGGUCAUCAUUUCCCACCGACCACCACAGGCCACCGACGGCUUUCAUAAUUUAUAUAUUUUUUUUGCAUUAUUUUCAUAUUUAAUAAUAAAAAUUUUAAAUUAUAAAAUUUCUAUUAUUAUUAAUAUUUUUUAUGGUCUUACGAGAUAAAACUUUAAUAUUUUUUAACUAAUUUUCAAUAUUACAACUAAACAACAGAAAAUAAGUCAUUUGAAAAAUAUUUUUCAUAAAAAUAUUUUUCAGCAAAUUGUUUUAUGAAAACAAACAGAAUCUAAAUAUAACAAAGAUUGAAAGAGCGUCCGCUUUAAUGCUAUGUAGAAUAUUGAAAUGUAACAAUAUUGAAAACAACUGAAUACAUACGAAUAUCAGUAUGCUCCCAUACUAUGUUAGAAAGGUUAAAUAUAAAUUUGAAACAUUUACAUCUCAUAAUUAAUUCGUUGGAAAACAUAAUUUUUUUAAAAAAAAUUUAUACUAAUAUAUAUUUAAUUUAUGUAAGAUUGUAUCCCACACCAUAUAUCUUAACAAAUCUCAUGACAAUAGCACAUCGUACCAACUAAUGAAAUUUGAUUUAAUAAUACUCAAAUAGUACUUUCAACUAUAUGGUUAAGACUUCAAAUCUUAAAACCAAAUCUACCCUAAUCAAAAGUUUAGUGCUAUGGUUGCAUAAAACUAAAACAAUCAAAAUAAUCUUAAACUAUUACAAGCAAUCGAGCAAAGGAUUUUAAUUAAACCCACCGACGAAUCCAAAAUCUAGAUUUGAUGCAUGAUUUCAAUUUUUCAUGGGGUCCAAGUCCUGCCCAUAAGCCAGAUAUGCUUCUCCAAGAGGUUCCCUUCUCCCUUCACCCCACAAGAUCUUUUGUCUCCUUUUGUUAGCACUUACAUAAUUUUUUUUUUUUGAAAAUGUCAUAAUUGAAUUUUUAUAUAUAUGUAUAUAUAUAUUUCUUAAGAAAAAAAAAAAAAAAGAACACAUCCCUUUUGUUUCCUUCUCAUUAAAUAAAUAAUUACUUUUAAAUAAUUGGCGUUUACUGAUAAUUGCACUUGUUCUUAAGUGAAAUUGGGACAUUCAUUUUUUUAGGGUCUAUGACCACCAAGCAUUCAACCCUCUUAUGGAAUUUGGGUUUAACCAACUUACCUAAAACAUAAGCUCUUGAUCGAACCGUGAAAUUGAGUGUCAAUGGUACUGGUUGAGUUGGUGCACCAUUCAAACUUCCCAGGUUAGCUCCCCCACCAUAUAACGGGAUUUUAUUCCCCUUUACCAUCACUGUUACUGAUCUUUGACUCUUUCUUGAUUGAUAGAAUUUUCUCAUCUGCCAAACACAGUUUUACAAAUUUCACUUCUAAAUUCCAAUAAAAUAAAAGAAAUAUCAACAUAUUACUUGAAUUAUCAAAUUAUCAAAUCCUUUCUUUAUUUUGUUUUUAUUUUUCACCACACUCUUAUCUUUCUAAAUUUGGUAAUUAAGGCUCUUUAUUAUCUUUCUGAAUUUAUAAAUUAAGUCUCUUUAUUAUUUUUCCAAUUUAUUUUAGUUCUUGAAAGCUAAUUUAUACUCUCUCUUUGUCCUAGUUUUUCUUUUUUCAUCCAUUCUAAAUUGUUGUCAAUUUUUUAAAAAAUAAAUAAUAUUUUGAUGUUUAUUAUUUUUCCUUUAUUUAAUAUGCUUAUUUAUCAACAAAUAUAAUAUUCAAAGUACUAUAUUAUCAUUAUUUUUAAUUAUCUUUCAAGAAAACUUUAUUUAAUCAAAUAUUUGAUAAUGAUUUAAUUAAUUUUAAGAACCAUUCAAUAUUAAUGGAUAUUAACAUAAGGGUAUAUUAGAGAAAAAAUAAGGCAAAAAUUAUAGUUUAACUAUAUUAACUAAAAUUCCUUAAUAUGUAUAAAGGUCAAACCGAGACAAAAAUUAUGGGGCGGAGAAUGAGUCUUUAACCUGCUAUAAAUUUCUUCAUUAUUUCUUAUUAGUAAUUAAUUUAAAAUUCAUGAAUUUUUUUUUUCUUUUGUUAUUAUAUUUGUAUUUUAAAAAUUUUCUAAAUUCUCAAUAAUUUUUUUUUCUCGAUAAAAGUGCUCAUAGCACCAAUACUAUGAGCGAAACCGGAUCAAAAUUAGCCAGAACUAAAAUCUGUCACGAGUUGGUUAAAGUCCCUUUUAUGAGGAAUUUCAACCUUGGUUUCGCUAAACUGCCCAUAUGCCCGUAUUGAUAUUAUCACUAUUUCUUCCUUUUUUUUUUUCGUUUUUGAAACAACCAUUAUUUCUAAUUUGUUAUCUACAUAAUAUUCCAGUUUGUGUGUUGCUAGGCUUCAUGGGCCCAAAGCCCAUGUGAAGCCUAAAAGCAUUUAAAGGGUGCUCAUCUUCUUUUUAAAUUUCUAAUAAAUACUAAAUAAACUGUCUAUAUAAAUAAGAUUAAAUAUAAUAAAAAAUAUUUUUAUUAAACUUAAUUUUAUAUAAACAAAUUUUUUUUUUUUUUUUGACAUAGACACAAACUUGCAGGGAACUUAAAGUUAUUAGUAAAAUCAAUUCAGUUUGAUUCUUAUAAAAUCAAAAUAACUGAAUUUUUUUUAGUUAGAUUAACCAUAUUGAAUUUUAACAAGAACUAAAUCGAAUUGAAAUGAAAUUCUACUAAAAAGUCAAACUGAAAUAAUUAAAAUUUCUAUUACAAACAUAUAACAUAUGUAUGUAUAUAUAAAUGUAUUUAAAAUAGUUUUUACAUUAAAUUUAUAUAAAAAUAUAUCUAAUUCAGUUGAUUAUUUUUUAUAAAAAUAAAUCAAACUAAAAUAGUCCAAUUUAACAAAAACUGAAAAUUAUAUAAUUUUUUUAAAAAUUUUUUGAAUACUGAAGAAAAUUUAAACCUAAUAACACCAAUUUCUCAUUUGUCCUGUAAUGCAAAUAAAUAAAUAAGAAUACAGAAUUGCUUACAGUUCCAGUAGCUAAAGUGAGUUGAGAAUAAGAUAGAUCCAAAGGUGUUGCAGUUACAUGAACUCCAAAAAACGUUGCCGUAUUACGAAAUGUAAGCUUCACGGAGCAGUUCAUAGACACCAUUUCUGUUGCCACUCCUGAGAAAUCCGCACCCGCUUGUACUAUAAAUUGAUCAAAAACAAUAGUCUGCAACCAAACAACCCAUAACCAAAUUUAAUUAGUAUUUUCGUUCAUAAUUCCAUUUAGAGUUAAUUAAAUUAUUAAUUACCUUCAUGGUGACGGUGGGUUUUUGAGGACGACUUGCACCCCAAAUAAUUAACGAAAACAAAGAGAAAAGUAUAAAAAAUCCCAAAACAAAAGCGAGAAAAUAACAACGACGACGCAUUCCAUGUGGACCAAUAUCUCCAUCGAGAAGACCUUCUUCUUCAAUGGCGUCAAACGCCUUCCAUGGCUUCCGGCUGACUUUCCGUUCGCUGGUUUUGCGGUGGGGUUUGAGAGACCCAGAGAAUCGUGUAGAAGAAGAUUCGCGAGAGUGUGGCCCCAAAGAAGAGUUGGAAUGGGAAUGUGGAGGGGAGCCGGCCGGACUGAGCACAGGAGUAGAGUGGAAUGAGUUUGUCGUUUUCUCGCCGUCAUGAGAGUCUCUAGAUGGGCUUUGCACGUAGUAUACAGGGCGGCGAGGCGUUGAUGAUGAUCUUGUCGGAGAUGAGUGAGUUAAGCUGCUUACUUCUGAGUCAGUCUUGGAGAGAUGCGUUGACAUUGUCGUUUUGAUGAGUCGUUAAUGUAAUAAAAAUGGUAAUAAACAGAGUUUCAGGAGAUGGGGAAGUGAAGAGGAAGAGUGAGUGAGAGCGUUUGUAGGAUCUCUAGAAACGUAGGUUAUGGAGGAGCACGUUGUUAUAUGUUUUGUUUAAUGAAAUCGAAGUGUUGAUUAUGAACGCAAUUAAUAGAGGGGAUGGUGGACUUUGCAGUAACUAGCUGGAAUUGUCUACUUGAUGUUUUUUAUUGAAUAAUUUUUCAGUUCAGCUCUUAUUUAUAAACUAGAAUUUAUGGCACACUCACUAUAUUUAUUUAUGUUAGUAAAAAAAAAAAUCCAUAAUUUGCUAUUUGGAAUAAAUGGAUUUCAUAAAGUUUUAUGAAAUUUAUUUAUAAAUCUAAAUUUUUUUGUUUGGAAUGAAAAACAAUAAAGAAUUCAAUUUUAGGAAUUUAAUUAUGUUGUGUAUUUGAAUAUAUCUAAAUCAAAUUCUAUCAAAGAAAGUAAAAUUUCCAAAUGAAUUCCAUAAACUUAAAUAAUCUAAAACUUCAUGACAAAAUUAUUCAUGACCUUUUUAAAGUUAUUGUGCUAAGGAUAUUUUUGAAAAUCAAAUAAAUUUUAAAUAUUAAAUUUAUUCCAAAUAUAAAAAAUUUAUUUAUAAAUGAAUUCAUCUACAAUUUAUAAAUUCUAUAUUUUGAAUACAUUUAUUAUUAAAUGGAUGGUAACCGUUAGUCUCAAGUUUAAUAUCUUUUUAUAUUUUAAUUACAAAUUAUAUUUGUAAUUAUAAUAUCUGAUUUCAAACAAUUGGUCUUGGUUAAGUAUGGGUUUUUUAUUUUUUUAUUUUUUUUCCAAUCCAUUUUAUCACAAAAAUUUGCAUUUACCAUUAAUUGAAGAUUUGGGAAACAAAGAAAAAAAAGGGAAGAACCUUUUAAUUAAUGCAUGUGGAGCAUGCAGAUCCAACGCCCUGGUGAAGCAAAGAGAAAAAAGAAAAUCCAUCUCAUGAUUUCCGAGACCCAUCCCAUUUAAAAGAAAAGACAAGAAAAAUACAAGAUCUAACACGCUGAAUCUCAAUCAAAUUGUGGGCAUGGACUACGUACUUGCGGACCCUUUCCCCUUAUUUUAUUCAUUAUCACUAUACUUUUGUUUUCAUUCACUUGCCUCUGAGUAACAAGUGGUAAGGAUGAUGUUCUAAAACGGUUUGGUCUCUGAUCGGAUCCAUGGAACCGUUUCACCUCUUCAAAGAGGUAAAAUGGAAAUGAAAAUGGAGAAAGGGAAUCAGCUGAACAGAUGCACUUUCAUUAGCGUUUUUUUAGGUAAUUUUUUGGAAAUUUUCCCUUAGGUUAUGGCCUGACCAUUCACUGCCAAUUUUUGUCAAAGGUCCGGAAUAAUCCGAUAGGCGAAAUUUAGAGUUUGAGACAGCCUGUGAUCCUGCUAGGUUCCAAAAUUUGCACUCAAGGAUUCAAAAUAUAUAAUAGUUGUUGGCAUGGGCGAUCGGAUUCAAGAUUACGUCUGGACAUGACAUCGAUCAGUACCGCAUUUAGAUUUCCACGUUUUGCAAAUCUUGCUUGAACCAAAUCCUUGUACUAUGUAAUAGUUAUGUUAUGAUUCCGUAUGUUCGUGCGCCCACGUGUCAGUUGGGACUGAAAAAUCUUACUAUAUGAUAGAUGAGCUAAAUUCAAUUAACGUGUUGUAUUUUUGUGGAUGACUAGAUGUUUGUAAAUUAGAAUUUAUAAGGAUCCUAAAAUAGUAAAUGUACUCCUAGCAAGCAGCAUCAACCUUUAACUUAUGUUUAAACUUGUAAUAUGGAAAGUUAUAAAUCCUAUGCCACAUAUUGUAUAUAUGUAUAUAUUGUCAGGAAAUUAGCUUAAGUUUAGAAUUUGCAAUCAAUUAUUCCACUCAAUUUACAAAAAUAAAAACAUAAACAUGACCGAGUAUAUGUCACGGUUCAUUAAAUGUGAAUCCUUAACUGAACAUUACAUAUUUUAAAAUGAUUAUGUUAUAUUAAUAAAAUUAUAGCUAUAUUUAUAUAAUCUACUUAAUCUAUCAACAGUUAUUUUAAAUUAAUUUAUGAAGUUUUGUAUUUUGUAAAUAUUGCUUUAGAUUUACACAGGUUUGUCAACAAUCAGGAAAGAGCCAUUUAGAAAAUAGCUACACAACCGUGCAAGAUUUUUUCAAGAUCUAAAUCU